This is a non-coding RNA of Theobroma cacao (cacao), 3619 nucleotides long. The record is from RefSeq and is a predicted model, not a curated record. Lineage: Eukaryota; Viridiplantae; Streptophyta; Magnoliopsida; Malvales; Malvaceae.
UUCACCUUCACAGCCUCCCAUCUCUCUUUCCUCUGAUGAUUUGAGAGAGAGAGAGAGGAGUAAACUAGAAGUGCGCCAGGCAAACCCUUAUAAUGCCCACACUACUCUUUAAUCUUCUUCUUCCUUCCUUCCUUACUUAGAUCCUAAAUCUCCAAAACCCCAUUCUUUUUUUGUUUUUUAUUAUUAUUUUUUUCUUUUACUUACCCUCAUGUAAACAAGCCUUUUUUCACUAGAUUUCUCUAAACCAAUAUUUAUUGGUCCUCUUCCUCCAAAUUUUCAGGAACUAAUGGGGAAAAGGGUUAAGAAGAAUCGUCGAGUACCUCCUAAGGAGAAAAAGGUUGUGGCAGCCCAAUCUCCAAAAGUUAUACCUCAAGAGAAUAAUGCUAGUUUUGAAAAGGUUGAUGAUGGAGUUGCAGUCGUAAAAGAGAGGAAAUCAUGCCCCCAUCUUGAUAAAGGUAUUUACUUGGAUAAAUUGUUGGCUAAAUUAAGGUCCUCGGGGCCUAUUAGGUGUGAAGAUUGUAGGGAAGGUGGAAAUGAUAGGAGAGGGAGUAAGGGAAAGGGUAAACAUGGGAAGAAGAAGGGAAGUGCUUCGGUGGAUUCAAAAUCUGAGUCAAAAGCCAUUUGGGUUUGUUUGGAAUGUGGACAUUUUGUGUGUGCUGGAGUUGGCUUGCCAACAGCUUCUACGACCCAUGCAAUUCGUCAUAUUAGACAAACCCGUCAUCACUUGAUGAUUCAGUGGGAUAAUCCUCAAUUGAGGUGGUGCUUCGCGUGCAGUACAUUCAUUCCAGUAGAGAAAACGGAAGAAAAUGUUGAAAAUAAAGAUGCUUUGUCUGAGGUUGUAAAAUUGAUUAAAGAACGAUCAUCUGAACCACCAGCAGCUGAUGUUGAGAAUGUUUGGUUUGGAAGUGGCAGUGUUACGAACGCAAUCAAAUCAGAAGGAACUAUAUCAAAUGGCUUGGAUGAAAAAAGUGGCUAUAUGGUUCGGGGUUUGGUUAAUCUUGGGAAUACGUGCUUCUUUAAUUCAGUAAUGCAGAAUCUUCUGGCUCUGGAUAGACUAAGGGACUACUUCUUGAAUCUGGAUGCAUCCGGGGGGCAACUAACUAUUUCUUUGAAAAAGCUUUUUGCUGAAACAAAACCGGAGAUGGGAUUGAAAAAUGCUAUCAAUCCGAAACCCUUUUUUGGGUGCAUUUGUGCUAAGGCUCCCCAGUUUAGGGGCUAUCAACAACAUGAUAGUCAUGAAUUGCUUCGUUGCUUGCUUGAUGGGCUUUAUACAGAAGAGUUGGCUCUGAAAAAACACAUUAAUGCUUCUAUAAAUGAUGUAGUUUCGGCAAAUCAGGAUCUUACUUUUGUGGAUGCUGUAUUUGGGGGUCAAAUUUCGAGUACUCUCUGUUGUGAGGAAUGUGGGCACUCCUCAACAGUGUAUGAACCAUUUUUAGAUCUCUCCCUUCCAGUUCCAACUAAGAAAACCCCAUCUAAAAAGGCUCAACCAGUCUCUCGAGCCAAGAAAACAAAGCUGCCACCAAAAAAAGUUGGCAGGGCUCGGGGAAAAGUUAACAAAGAUGUAGAUCGGUCACCAGCUCAAGGUGUUACGACUUCAUUGCCAAGCAGUGAAUCUCCAGGCCUAGGCCAUAUGGUUGUGCCUCAAACAGAAACCAUGGUGGCAUCUUCCAGUGAUUCUUUACUAUCUGGUGCUGUUGGCACAAGUGCCGAGGCCAAUGAACUCAGUUCUGCUUCACAGAAUCUCUUAGCUGUUGCAGAGUCUGAGAAUGAGCAAGUAAUGGAGAAUGCAGUGAAGGAAAAUACAGGUGCGGCAGAUGAUUUUGCUUGGAUGGAUUACCUUGUAAUGGAGAAUACGCUGCAGGAAAAUGCAGCUGGGGCAGAUGGUUUUACUUGGAUGGAUUACCUUGAACCAGGAACAAUAGCUGUUGAGAAUGAUUUGAUUUCUCAAAAUAAUGAUAUUUCCUUUUUUCAAGAUUCUGAAGACAAGAAUCUGGUUCUGAAUGAAGCUUUAGCAGAAAGUAGUCAGGUCUCUUUACUUGAGGGGGAACCAAAUUGGAAACCACAUGAUUCUUCUGGAAACCUUCAGGAAGAGGGGCUUCCUUUGCUGGUUCAAGAUUCUGAGGUUCUGUUGCUCCCUUACAAAGAAGAAAGUACCAGUUCUAAAGAGAGUGUGAGAGAAAACGAGGCCUCCUCAUCAAAUGUUGGCCAUGGACAAGAGGAAGUGGAGUUUGAUGGCUUUGGUGACAUGUUUAAUGAGCCCGAAAUUGCUGAAGGGCCCAGCAUUGGGCCCUCUUUAGCAAAUGAAGUUGCUGAAACUGGUUUUUUGGCUGGGAAUAUUAGUGAUUCUGAUCCUGAUGAGGUUGAUGAUAGUGACUCUCCAGUGUCUGUAGAAAGCUGUUUGGCUCACUUCAUAAAGCCAGAGCUUCUUUCUGACGAUAAUGCUUGGAAUUGUGAGAAUUGUGCAAAAAUUCUGCGACGUCAGAAGUUGGAAUCAAAGAAGAAGCAGACUAAGAUGUCAAAGAAUUUAACCAAUGGUGGUGAGACUCAAAGCCAAUGUGAACCACCAAGUUUAGAUAAAGAAUUCCCUUGUCCUAAUGGAGUUAGAACUAUUAGUAAUGGCGAUAUCAGUAAUUCUGGUGAAAGCUUGGUUUUACAUAACAAGAUAACUGAUUCUUUGAAACAAAAUGGUAUAAAACUUGAAAUUGGUCAAACAGGUGAGCUAAAUUCAGUUGUGUCUAAAUCUGAAGAAGGUAAAUCUGAGAUAGAAGAUGCAAGCCUGAUGAAAUCAGGUUCUUCAGUCUCCUCUAAAUCCUGUGGUCAAGAAGAAUCUGGUGGUAUCCAACCUGUUGAUUCUUGCAAUGUUGAAAAUCAUAGUGAUAAUGAUAAAUUUCAGCAGAGUAAUUCACAGAUGGCCGAAAACUGUCAAUCAGGGGAAAGUGAAGAUGAAGAGAUAGACUCUAAAAACGUGAAGGUGAAGAGAAAUGCAACAAAGAGGGUCCUCAUAAACAAGGCUCCACCUAUUCUAACUAUUCAUUUGAAGAGGUUCAGCCAAGACGCUCGUGGUCGCUUAAGUAAAUUGAAUGGCCACGUCAAUUUCAGAGAAACAAUUGAUCUUAGACCAUAUGUGGAUGCCAGGUGUGAGGACAUAGAUAACUGUAUUUACCAUCUGAUGGGGGUUGUGGAGCAUUCGGGAACAAUGAGAGGGGGGCACUACAUUGCAUAUGUGAGAGGAGGUGAGAAGAGGAAAGGGAAGGCAGAGACCGAAUAUGUGAGUUCUCCGUGGUAUUAUGUCAGUGAUCAUUAUGUGCGCCAAGUAUCACUUGAAGAAGUUCUUCGCUGUGAGGCAUACAUCUUAUUCUAUGAAAAAAUUUGAAGGGUUUUGUUCCAUACUUGUUCUGUUUCUUAAAUGACAGAAGGGGGUAAAGUUAGAAUUGCACCCCCAAAGGAGAGAGACAGAAAUACAUGACAGGCAGAGGAAUUCACUUAUCAAAUUAUUACAUUGAUUGUUUUCCAGAUGAAUAUUUUGAGUCAUCCAUCUUAUGGAUUUCCCAAGGGUUUUGUUUCUUAUUUAUGAAGCUGGAGCUAAAAGUUUUGCAUAUCUUAUGAUUUUGCUCAUUAA